Molecule: non-coding RNA, 252 nt
Organism: Vicia faba (fava bean)
Lineage: Eukaryota; Viridiplantae; Streptophyta; Magnoliopsida; Fabales; Fabaceae
Source: the annotation of a GenBank genome assembly
AUGAAGCGGAAGAAAGAAGGUGAUCAACUCUUUGUUGCCGAGUCUUCUCUGCCAGUGACUUAUGACAACAUUGGAUAUGCUAACAAUACUGAACGAGACAUGGAAGGACCGGAGAGAAAUGUAGGAACGAGAAUAGCAGAAGGUAAUCCAACUAGUCUUAAUGAGCAAGAAUUACAUGGUGUACACGCCGGAAAGUCAUACAGAGAUUCGGUGAUUGGAUUAGCAGCUGGAGCAGGAGAUGAAGGUAGAUGA